Hemibagrus wyckioides is the source of this 290-nucleotide long non-coding RNA. RefSeq lists it as uncharacterized. The transcript is spliced from 4 exons. The record is from RefSeq and is a predicted model, not a curated record. NCBI's taxonomy places the organism in Eukaryota, Metazoa, Chordata, Actinopteri, Siluriformes, Bagridae.
AAUCUAAAGUUCACGCAGAAUCCACAGAUCCUGAGCCUUCAACUGUGUGACGUCUGAUAUUAAAGAAGUGAAAAUGCGGGUGAUGCUGCUGCUGGCCUGUCUGCUGGCUCUAAGUUUGGCUGUGCCGCUGCACAAACACCGUGUGACACGAUCAGAGAGUUCAGAGGAUGAUGGGGGCGACUCUGAAGAUGGCAGCGAUGAAGGAGGAGAAAGAGAGGGAGACAGAAAAGAUGGGGGUGAUGGAGCAGAAGAAGGAGGAGAAGGAGGAGGAGGAGAAGAAGAAGAAGAAG